GACGAACGCUGGCGGCGUGCUUAACACAUGCAAGUCGAACGGAAAGGCCCUGCUUUUGUGGGGUGCUCGGGUGGCGAACGGGUGAGUAACACGUGAGUAGCCUGCCCUUGACUUUGGGAUAACUUCAGGAAACUGGGGCUAAUACCGGAUAGGAGCUCCUGCUGCAUGGUGGGGGUUGGAAAGUUUCGGCGGUUGGGGAUGGACUCGCGGCUUAUCAGCUUGUUGGUGGGGUAGUGGCUUACCAAGGCUUUGACGGGUAGCCGGCCUGAGAGGGUGACCGGCCACAUUGGGACUGAGAUACGGCCCAGACUCCUACGGGAGGCAGCAGUGGGGAAUAUUGCACAAUGGGCGGAAGCCUGAUGCAGCAACGCCGCGUGCGGGAUGACGGCCUUCGGGUUGUAAACCGCUUUCGCCUGUGACGAAGCGUGAGUGACGGUAAUGGGUAAAGAAGCACCGGCUAACUACGUG
This 468-nucleotide ribosomal RNA is filed under the name uncultured bacterium. RNAcentral describes it as "partial 16S ribosomal RNA". It matches the Rfam family "Bacterial small subunit ribosomal RNA", at positions 28 to 507 of the family's 1533-position model. The record is from RNAcentral.